AACCAGCAGCACCCAGUGGCCAGCAGCGUACUCUUUCACCUCUUCUUGGGUGACUUUGUGGAAUGCUCCAAUGUGACAUCUCCCUGUGAACGCCUUUCCUGACACCCUAAAAAGUGUCAGGAAUUUCCAGCAAGUUCCAGAGAGCAGGUUUCCAGCAAGUUUGGUCAGUAUGACACCACAGCGAUAUCUCUGCCAUUCAUUGAACUUGGAUUCUUCCUUCUUCAAUGAGAGAUGUUCAAGAAAAAGAACAACUUCAGUGGAAGAAGAAGAAGAUAGGAGCCCAGGUCCUGUGUUUCACCAAGACAGCCGUGCAAAGCAGAUGCUGCCAAAAAGGUGCAAAGUGGUUUGUCAGCUCUUCUGCAUGUUCUAACAAAUUAGACAUGCAUCCCAAAAGGUUUCCUAGACUUUCCAUCACCACCAGUGAAUUCUGAGUGACAAUAGUGUGGAAUUUGGAAGAAUGGAAGAGAAACUGAAGUGGAGAGAUGGUGAAAGAGAAGAAAAAAUGAAGAAAGAUGCUUGCAAAAAUACUGCUGUGGGUCCUGAGAUGAGGAUUCUGGGAGGGCUGAAAUGGAUGCCCCUGACAGCUCCCUUUGAGUUCCUGUUCAUCUGAAGUACACCAGCCUUCUAGAUAUGCUGUCACUUUCCUUCUGCAGAGCCACAGUGGUGUCCUGUCUUCUCAGACCUCUUCUCACCUCAAAUCACUUAGGACACGGCCACCAGACAGGUUUGGGAUUUCAGAACUUUUCAGAUGUUAGAAAGUUCUUUUCUAAAUGUGAUGAGGAAUUACAGAAUCAUAAAAUGGAAGCAGAGUUAAACUCAGACAUGUGGGCACUCAAGGCAAUUAGGAGCUUUCUGCGAUGAGAAAGGGAUCAGACUGAUCCUUAAGACUUUAUGCAACCCCAGAGUAUUGCAGCCACCUGCAUGCCGAAGGUGUCAAGAGUGUUCUCACUGCUGCCUAUAGGAGGGUCUUCAGCCUCCAGUGAUCCAAAGUACCAGGCUGACCUGUGACUGCUUCGGCCAACUGAAUAGGGAAGAGUGAUGCUGUGCUAUUUCCAGGCCUGUUCUUUAAAAGUACUUGGAAGCUUCUGCCUUGGCCUCUUUGUGCCUGAGUUGCUGUAUAAGAAUCUGAUUACCUUGCUGGAGAGACCUUGUGGAGAAGACUUGACCUUAUAUGCAGAGGUAGAGGGGCCCUGGUUAGUCCAGCCAUCUGGCCAUCCUGUCAAAAUAGCAGGAGUAUGAUGGCCAGUGGAUCCAAAACCUAUCCUAUAUCUACAUGUUGGUGGCCACAUUAAUCUGACAUCUGACAGCAAGAGCGAUGAUUGGGUUCACUGGAAAUCUUCAUGAAGUACGAGUGAAGUCCUUGUGAAGUCAGAGUUUCCUCUUCAUGCCUCUACUCCUAUGCAGUUUGACCUCUCAGUGUGCAGCUGGUGAUAGAUGGAAACCCUUGUUCAUAAGCUUUGUGGCACUGUCGGCAGGAUGAGGGGACUUCUGGAUCCUCACUGGUCACUGUGGCAGAGUGGUUGGUGUUGUCUGCUCCCUAGACAGGAACCCACUGAAGAAUCUGACAUUUUUUGAUAUGCUGGCAUUCAUUGUUACAGCCCAUCAACCCAGCCAUCAAUCCAGGACAUGGGGUCCGUGCCCACGGUGGGAAGGAGGAGGAGGAAGCUGGCUUUGUUCUGACCUUAGGCUUCUGCUCCACCAGUACUUUCUGUGGGGGAAAUAGGUAAAGAAAUGGCUGUUCAGAUGAGAAGAUGUGUCAGUAAACUUUUGCUACAGUGAUGCUGCAAAACAAAUCACUGGUGACUUUCAGUGGCACACAGCAAUAAACAUUUAUUUAGCUCAGGGAUUGACAAUCUUUUUUUUUUUUUUAAAGGGCCAAAUAGUAAAUAUUUUAGGUGUUUCAGGCCAUACAGUCUCUGAACUCUGAACUUGUAGCACAACAGUAGCCUUAGAUGCUAUGCAAAUGGAGGAGCAUGACUGUGUUCCAAUAAAACUUUAUUUAUGGACACU
RNAcentral lists this long non-coding RNA (2010 nucleotides) under Pan troglodytes (chimpanzee). RNAcentral describes it as "lincRNA". Lineage: Eukaryota; Metazoa; Chordata; Mammalia; Primates; Hominidae. The record is from RNAcentral.